CAUUUCCAACCAAGUUACAUUUACUAUUUACUUCGCUUGUUACUAUUGCUAUUUCAUUUAAACAUUUACAACUCUUAGAAUUAAUAAACACUAGAUUUAAUUGUUCCCUAGCUCCUUGUGGAUUCGAUCCCUAAGUACUACAUCUGAACCUCUUUUGAUGAGAGUAACACUCCUUAGGGUAAUUUGAGUGGUAUCAACAAAUCCUCAAACCUGGUUGAUGAAUUAUGGCCGUGCGAUCUGAGUGUGAUUAACGGUUCAGAACCUUCUCGGAGGCCCCCACACUAGAGAGGAUCGCUAUCUGGUUAGGUCUUGAACUUACCUGUGUAGUCGCAUAGUUGUCUGACAGGCUUUCGUUUUUGAGGAUUUGUUUGGACAAUUUGAUGAUGCCUAUGUACUUUGUUUAGAAAAAAAAUUGAUUAUGAAAAAAUGUUUGAGAUGCUUGGUUUAGAAAGGCUAGUAAAUUAUCUUCUAACUAGGUUUUAAGCCUUUAAUCUUUGAUAGAGUUCACAGAAAUCAAUUAUCUGCGUUAUUGGUUAUAGUAAAGAUUUCGGUUAUCUUCAUUUGCUUUCUUGUUAAAUGCAAAGGAGAUUAAAGCUGGGGUUUAAAAUAAUCUUUUAUUUUAUGGGAAAGGAAAUUAACAGUGGUUGUACUUGUAUUAUAAUGUGACUCCAAGAAUCUGUUGGCUGGUGAUUGAUCCAUUUGGACAUUCUGCAAUCCAGGCUUACUUAAUAAGCUUCAUCUAAACUAUUAAAACUGAAAUACAUUUAAUAAUCAAUUCUAACUUUUUUCUAAAUGAUUACAAGGAUUGCCACUGGCCUUAAAUAUCAUUUAACAACACUACAAGAACUAUUUUAAUUCAGUUGACGUUCUUAACCAAAUAUCACAACACGUGUUUCCUUAACCAAUUUUAACUUGGUUAAGAAUUCAAAAGUUGUCAAUGCAUCCAUAAUGCAAUAGACUAUUAAUAUAAGUUAAAAUUAUGAUAUAUUAAUUCAACUAUAUUUCAUCUAAUGCUAAUCAAGCCUGUACUUCAAUUAUGUACUCGGAUCAAGAAAUUAAAUAUUAGAUAUGUGAAAUUUGUAUUUGGUUGUAUGUAAAAGAUCUAUCUAUUACUAUAAAGAACACUAUUCUUUCCUUUUCCUGCUGCCACGUCAGAAAAUAAGGUAAAGAGAUGACAACACGUGUCCUAAUUUUUUAAACCGCGCCGCAUCAUUUAAUCCGAUCUUUCGUUCAUUCGGGCUUUAAUUUUGUUGGGCCGUUUAUUCUCUUCUUCGAGCCCAAACCACAUAUAUUGGCUUCACCUUGAUGAAAUGCCGCGUUUCUAUCAAAGUUAGGCAGACGAUCUUUCAUCUUCUUCGCCACAGCCGACAUCGAAUUUAGGGUUCGCCUUAUUCUUUAAUCUCUGAGCAUCUUCACCAUAAAGGAGUGUCAGGAGUAUGAGUGAGUUGAAUAGUCUAGAAGAAUCUAUGUAUGAAUAUUCGAUUGAGUCGUUACGUCUUUCUUCCACAAAUUCUCAUUCACUACAUCCUCUACUCUCUUUGGUUCUCUGAACCUAUAGCUAUAAAUAGAAUUGCUAAUUCAUCUCUCCUCAUUGCUGAUUUGAAAGCUCCGGCGUCGUAGCAAUUCCGAGCGUAGCUAGAAGUUUCUUACUGUGUUUAUGACUGUGGGGUUUCUUUUCGGUAUCGUACGCUGCAAGGUCCGGCGUAUCUAAGCAGUUCGAAGUUAAGAAGCAUAUGAAUAGUCUAAAUAAACCUGUUGUCAAGAGCGUUCAAGUACGGUAAAUCUAUUAUCUUCUUUUUUUUAAGUAUUUUUCUGUUUUGGUUAAUUUAGGUGAAUAUCAUAAUCUGAUGAGUCAUGCUUUUCUCUCUCUCUCUCUCUCUCUCUCUCUCUCUCUCUCUCUCUCUCUCUCUCUCUCUCUCUCAUGAUUUCUAUCUGUUGGCUGUGUUUAUUUUGUUCUAACUGAACAAACAGUACACAUUGUGUCGAGAAAACAAGGUGGGAUCUCGAAUCCAAUAGCCGGUGAAGCUAUGGUUCUGUGUUUUAACAGAUUUUCGCGAACGCUACCAUCCCGCACAAAACGCAGUUCAACUUCUCGGACACGUAUCGAGAAUGAUACUGGAGUAUUGGAAUCAACGGCAAGCGUCUUCGAUUCAUAGUUUACAGUCUGCUUCUAUGAGAUGAUCCCGUCCAGGUCCAUGAUCGUUAUUACCAAAUCUUUGUUAAUCUCUUUUCUUAAUUUGUUUCUCUUUGUUGUGUUCCUCUGAUUAGAUAAAUCAGAAAACAAAAAAACAGUUAAAAUCUAAAGUUAUCAUGUUUAAAGAAAAUAUGGAAUAUUUUCACAGUUCCGACAUGUUAGAAAUAACAAAAAACAGUUUGAAUAGAAAUACAUAAAAGUAUAUGUGAAACUAUUUUUAUUAAUUUAAAAUAAAUUCCAUAUAAAAUAGUUCACUUUAAGCUUUAAUACAUGUUAACUGCCUGUCAGAUAUCGAGUGGAGAUGUUCGUUGCUGAUGAAACCACUGAGGGCCUGUUCGUCUGUUUCGAUGGGGUUAUGACAAAACUGCAUAGCAUUAGAGCUAGGGAUGUUAACAUGGGUAAUUACCUAUGGGUUUACCCAAACCCACUAAUAAUGGGUUGGGAUUUUACCCGUCUAAGAUUUAGUGGGUCAAUCAUGGGUAUUAAUUUUAAAACCCAAUUUUUAAUUAAAUUAUAUAAAAUUUGCAAAAAAAAAUUUUCCGUCAAAAUCAAAAAAAAAAAAAUAGAAAAGUACAGUAAAACUAACAAAAUCGGAAAAAACAGAAAAGUAAAACUUUAAAGGUUUUUGUAUAACUACAAACUAAGUGAAACUAUUAGCACGAAAAUCCUUCACCAGAAAAUCCCGCCCAGUUUUUUGAAUUUUCCCACCCAUUUUUUCAAAAAAUCGAUGCGGAGGCGACGUAGACGUGUAUUAAACCCGCCAUUUACCUCAGCCAAUCUCUCUCUCUACUAUUCAAUCUCUCUCUAGAUUUCUCUCUACAAUCGGUCUCUCUUCUUUCUAGAUUUUUAGGUUACUCAGAAUCAUGACUCAUCCAGACGAGGACUAUAGGCAGAUGAAGGCUUGGAAGAGAGACACCAACAUGCUUGGCUGCGUGGCGGAUGCCGAGUGUGGGAUUACGACCAGAUGCCCUUGUGGGGGGACAAUCAUCAACGAGGUGUCUCGGAACCUGAAGUAUCCAACCGAUUUUGAUACUUUACCGGGGAGAAAAUACUUCACUUGCAAAAAUUAUGAGAAUGAUGGCUUCCAUUUCCGUCAACCAUGGGUCUUCGGAGUCCAGGAAGAGGUUGAAAUGUUAAGGAAGCGCGUGGAUGCGAUGGCUGCAGAGAUUGCUGAACUGAAGUAUAAUCUAACCCGUCAGAAUCCCACCACUCCAUGAGAUGCGUCCGGUCCAUGACAUUACUCUACUAUCUGUUGUUGUUGUUUGCUUGAGAUUAUGUUCUUAUGUUGUUGUUGUUUGCUUGAGAUUCUGAUUUACUAAGACUCUUCGUAUUUACUAAAGUUUUCCUAUUCUCCCUCA
Molecule: long non-coding RNA, 3552 nt
Organism: Brassica rapa (field mustard)
Lineage: Eukaryota; Viridiplantae; Streptophyta; Magnoliopsida; Brassicales; Brassicaceae
Source: RefSeq, a predicted model, not a curated record